RNAcentral lists this ribosomal RNA (465 nucleotides) under uncultured bacterium. RNAcentral's name for it is "partial 16S ribosomal RNA". It matches the Rfam family "Bacterial small subunit ribosomal RNA", at positions 338 to 795 of the family's 1533-position model. The record is from RNAcentral.
CCUACGGGAGGCAGCAGUGGGGAAUAUUGCGCAAUGGGCGAAAGCCUGACGCAGCGACGCCGCGUGAGGGAUGAAGGUUCUCGGAUCGUAAACCUCUGUCAGUAGGGAAGAAAUUAUAUCAUGCUAAUCACUUGUGUAUUGACGGUACCUUCAAAGGAAGCACCGGCUAACUCCGUGCCAGCAGCCGCGGUAAUACGGAGGGUGCGAGCGUUAAUCGGAAUUACUGGGCGUAAGGCGCACGUAGGCUGUAUGACAAGUCAAGGGUGAAAUGCCACGGCUCAACCGGGGAACUGCAUUUGAAAAUGUCAAACUAGAGUAUGUGAGAGGGCGGGGGAAUUCCUGGUGUAGGGGUGAAAUCCGUAGAUAUCAGGAGGAACAUCAGUGGCGAAGGCGGCCGCCUGGCAAAAAACUGACGCUGAGGUGCGAAAGCGUGGGUAGCAAACAGGAUUAGAUACCCGAGUAGUC